Molecule: long non-coding RNA, 2504 nt
Organism: Nerophis lumbriciformis (worm pipefish)
Lineage: Eukaryota; Metazoa; Chordata; Actinopteri; Syngnathiformes; Syngnathidae
Source: RefSeq, a predicted model, not a curated record
UUGUAAUUGCGUUAACAACAUUCUUUAUUUUGGGGUUUCAGAAGCAAGCAUAUUUUGAUGAAUGCUGGAAGAAGAAUUCAGUCGCAGUUUGGACAAGUUGCCGGUAGAGGGCGCAAUGCAAGAAAAUGCUGCGGAGGUGCUGCUUCCGUUUACGGGUAGUGCUUCUUUUUCUCAUCCCAACCGAAGUGGCGUCGGUCUCCCAGCCGUUCUAUCCUACGGAUUCUUCAUGCAUCACUCCAAGCAACCUUUUUUCUCGUCACCGUGGAGUUAUGGAGUCUGUCUAGCUGAUCAGAGAGCUAGCUUGCGCAGCUGGCGGGUCCAUGGCGGUGACUUGUAUUUUGUUUGAUCAGCCGUUUUACUGCCGUGUUACAGACACCGUUUGGAAACACUUAAGUUGCCAUCUCCUGAAGUUGUUGGCUGUGUCGGCGGGAACUGUUACAUGAUGUACAUUUCAGGACAACAAAGACUGGAUUACAACUAUAAAGAAGAUAUUUGCCUUGGAGACAUUCAGGCAGGGACACAGACAUUUUUAAGUUCUAUACAUACCCUCGUCCAUCUUAUUGCCCCUGGGUAUUGAAUACAUGGAGGAAGAGCUAUUUCAUUAUUGUUAGUAAGACCUUAGGCUGGGAUGAGCAAAUAAUGUGUGUCAAACUCAUUAUUUGCUCAUCCACAUUGUUUGAUGUGAAAGCCUGGAAAUAAUGUGCACUUCCUUUUUCUUGCUAAACAUAUUCCUUCUGUCAAAUCUCAUGUCUUCUUCAACUUGACAACUGUCUGAUUGUGCAAAAAGCAUGACACGUGUCCAAAGCUGCAGUUUUGUUUGUUGGACUAUAACAACGUCAAAAAGAGCAAAUGUUUUGUGAUGUAAUGCUAAAACAUGUCACAUAGUAAAAAUGCGGGGGGCCAUUCUUUCACUUCAUGAAAACAAACACAUCACAACAUAAGCUUUGUGUUAUAAGUGACUAUGAGUGUAUUAUUAUUAUUAUGAGUUGUUAGAAUCAAAAGCCUAGUUUAUUUUGACUGUAGUUGUAAAGACCCAGCAGCUGAAAAUCAAACAUUUGCUUAGUAGGCAAAUAGUGAGAGCAUUCCUGACUUGGUCUUUAGAGUUCUUUUCCACUUUACAUCUCCAUAUUUAUUGUCAAAUGUGCAGACUUUUAGCAUUUUGUAAUCUUCUGAAUUUGGAAGAAUAUACCUGGACAUAAUGAAGGUUUUUUUAUUCCAGCAAUUAUAUUUACAAGAUGAAACUAAUACAGUGUUCCCUCGCUACAACACGCUUCACUUUACACGGCCUCGCUGUUACACCCAUCUUUUUUGUGUGUGUAUUUUUUCGGUCAUGGUGGCCACCGUGGCGUGCACAGCGGCAGGUGGUAUCAGGACCGGCGGGGGCAGUGAGGGGUGCACCACCUCCAUGACCACACGGUUGUCCAACGAGACCGAGCCCCUUCGAGACCCGGCCCGUCGGAGACGUGCGGGGCGCACCACCUCCUCAACGGCACGGGUGUCUACCCAGACCGAGUCCACUUGAGACCCGGGCCUGCCGGAGCGUGUCGGCCGUCAGCCUGCGCCCCAAGUGUGCCUUGGCCCACGCCGAGGCCACCUGGAAUGGAGCUUUCCAGUUGUGUGAAAUAAAACCCCCCAGUUUAUCCACUUCUGAUUGAAGUGCUUUAUUGUAGUGUUCUCUGAGAAUUAGGACCGUGGUAUAUGCCCAAUUUUUAGCAUUUUCCCUUUAGCAGGUCUUCUGUGUCAGGGUUGGUGACAGCUGGUCUAAUUCCCGUCGUCAAGGUAAGUUCCAUCCUAGUGAUGGUUUGUGGUUGGUGAUCCUUGCUGACGUUUUUUAAAUGAUGUUAUACAUCAUUUUAGCUAUUGAGCUAAAAUCAUUGUCCUGAUUAUCAGGAUGAGAUGCCCUGGGGGGACGUGUCUUAUUAUUCCUGGCUGUAUUUCUAUUGGGGCGUUUUCCCCGUGCUGGUUUUUGUUUAUUAACCUUCUGAUUAGCCCUAUAAGUACCCCUGGGGUUGGGAGGGUCAUAAUAGGUAGGGUGGAAAUUUACCCUGUUUUGAGGGGGCAUAUCAUAUGCUGAAAAAUUGGAAUAUAUAGUGUUCUGUUACCACUAAAAGUUGUAAACUCUUGUUGUUGAAAUGUGUUGUGCUUAAAUAAGCUUCUUAUGUAAUUAACAUUACAUGUGUAUUUGUCGCCAUCAUGUGGUCAUGGCAGUUACUACAUCAUUGAGAAGUGUGUAUUUUGAAUCAAACUUUAUUGACCGGAAGUUGCAUAAGCCAAGCAGAGCAAUCUACAGUGCCAGCACGUACUUUAUGGUGGUUAUUUUCGAAGAAAUACUGCAUAUAUCUUUUGUUUAAGGUUGCAUCGCCGGUAUGUGUCAUAAGUUUAACUAAAAUAUUUCGAGCUAAAUUUAUGAUUUUUGAUGUAUGAUCUUUGCCAUACUCAUUAGCAAUAGUUUGCGAUGUCAUCUAAGAUGGCGUCGUAGUACAAAUUCACUUUGUUUACCUUCU